GGUACUAUUGGCGUCCCUUUUGACGCAGUUAUGUUAAGGAAAAGGUCGUGGAUGGGCUUAGGUUUCCGUGAUACGAGGGAAUAACGGGACGGUUGGGUUUAGGAAAAAAAAAAAGCAACUUUAAGAAAUGUGCCAGGCGGG
Sander lucioperca (pikeperch) is the source of this 141-nucleotide long non-coding RNA. RefSeq lists it as uncharacterized. Lineage: Eukaryota; Metazoa; Chordata; Actinopteri; Perciformes; Percidae. The record is from RefSeq and is a predicted model, not a curated record. The transcript has 3 exons.